GUACCAUGUCCCAGACCACUAGCACAAAGUCCAGGAGUCUAAAGGCAUGAAUUCCCAAAUAUAUUGUUCCUCGGAGACAUCUGAGUCUGCUUCUGAAGAAAACUGUGAGAUUUAGGACAAUUCUAAGUAUGCUAUCUCUGUGCACAGCCCACAAGCAGAAAAAAAUAGAUGACUUGAAGGAGGCGGUGGAGCCCUUGGAUCACUAGUUCUCAGCCUGGAUGGUUUUGUCACCCCAGGGGAUAUAUAACAAUGUAUGGAGAUAUUUUGAUUGUCACAACUGGGAAUAUGCUGUUGGUAUCUGACUAGACCAGACUGGAUGGACUAUGCUCUAAUAUCCUAGAAUUUCCUGCUUCCAUAUGGAAAAGAACCUACAACAAAAAUGAAGAAGUCAUACUUCAGCUUUUAUCUUCUUGUGGCUCAAUCAAAUGAGAUGCUCUAUGGCUUCUUCUCUUUUCCGAUGUGGACCCAGAAUUCCUGUGAGAAAUAUCUCCAGUGCUUUCAAGCUGUUCCUGCUGACACUUCCCUUCGCGAUUUGGGCUGCUGUGGUCCCUCGAAGCCUUUUUUCUUCCGGCUUCCGAUUCAACGGGCUUCUUUCCUUCAAAGGCAACUCCAUGUCAACCCUAACAAUCAACAAAAGACUCUUACCACGGAAACCUAAUAGCUUGCUUGUCCUACCUGCCGACCUUCUUCAAAGCACACAAGAGCACCCAAUGACCAUACACCCGCAAAAGCGUUUGCACCGAUGGGUGAAAUCCUAAAACGUGGAAGCAUCUUGAAAGCAAAUGUUAAUCAUCUCUUGAUGUGGCACUGAGGGUUGAAGAAGGAUGGAAGACAUUGUUGAAGGUCUGUGAAGCCUGGUCUUUCCAGUCAUUGGUAAGGCACCGAUAUAAGAUACCUCUGUGAAUGAAAAUAAUUCAAUAUGCAUGUAAUGAAAGGAAGUUUUUAUUUUUGACAAAUUGGGAGAAUCAGGACAUGUAUUUAUUGAAGAUUUUCAGAAGAUGAACAAGAGAGACAUGCCCAGUGACUUGGCAAGAGCUCUUAAGGAAACAAGAAAGAACACCAUCUCAACUUAAACAUGCUGGGACAGGGGAGGAGACCAAGAAUGUUGACUUUCAAGAGCCAGAAAACUUCAGACAUAUGAAUUAAAUAAACAUUGGCUUGAAGGAAGCUGAUCUGAAGAG
This 1181-nucleotide long non-coding RNA is filed under the name Sus scrofa (pig). RNAcentral describes it as "lncRNA (ENSSSCG00070020478.1)". Lineage: Eukaryota; Metazoa; Chordata; Mammalia; Artiodactyla; Suidae. The record is from RNAcentral.